UUCUCAUUUCCUUUGGCUUCUUUACAGUGCUGCCUUGUUGCAUAUGGAUCAAGCAGCAUUGUACAGGGCUAUGAAGGAUCUGAGA
Molecule: microRNA precursor, 85 nt
Organism: Xenopus tropicalis (tropical clawed frog)
Lineage: Eukaryota; Metazoa; Chordata; Amphibia; Anura; Pipidae
Gene: xtr-mir-103-1
Product: xtr-mir-103-1
Source: Ensembl